Anolis carolinensis (green anole) is the source of this 3626-nucleotide long non-coding RNA. RefSeq lists it as uncharacterized. NCBI's taxonomy places the organism in Eukaryota, Metazoa, Chordata, Lepidosauria, Squamata, Anolidae. The transcript is spliced from 3 exons. The record is from RefSeq and is a predicted model, not a curated record.
UUUUUCUUAAAAUGGGGCAAUGCACAGUCUGUAGAGAAGAAAUAAGAGAUAAAUAUCAGCUUCAUUGACAAGAUAUUGACAAGCUGGAACAUGUCCAGAGAAGGGAAACGAAAAUGGUAUAUUGUCUGGAAGCCAAGUUCUAUAAGGAGCGGCUUAGGGAGCUGGGUGUUUUAACUUGGAGACAAGAAGGUUAAGAGGGAAUUUGAUAGCCAGGUUUAGAUAUUUGAAAAGAUGUCACAUUGAUGAGGGAGGAAGCUUGUUUCUAUUGCCCUGGAGACUAGGGCUUAGAGCAAUAUAUUUAAACUGCAGAAAAAUAUAUUCUACCUUAGCAUUAGGAAGAGUUGUUUGGCAGUGCAAUAUCCUGCCUUAGAGUGUGGUGGAGUGGCCUUCUCUGAUGGUUUUUAAGCAGAAGUUUGAUGGCCAUCUGUCAGGAGUGUGUUACUACAUGGCAGGGGGUUGGACUGGAUAGCCCUUGUAGUCUCUUCAAACUCUUUCAACUUUAUGAUUCUAUGGUUCUGCCCUGGUAACAAAUGCCCAGCAAGAAAUUUCGGCAUACUGGAAUGUCAGACUUGAAAGCACCCAUCUCCGUGAAUCUCUUCCCUUUUGCCUUGUAGCUUAUACUGGCUGAAGACAAUGGCACAGGGUUGAUACGAAUCAACAUGUUUGGCAUUGAACUUGAAAAAUUGAGCUGUUAUUCCAGUAGUAAUGUAUUGACACUUCAGAUGUCACUACUGUCACAUAAUGGGAUGCUGUAUAUUAUAUCAAACAUUCUAUGACAAUCAACAAGAACAACUACACAAAGUGUGUAGUACUGUAAUCUAGUCUGAUGGAUAUAAAGUCACAAAUGGACCACUAUACUCAAACAUAAGAUCCUUUAAUGGCCAAGAUUGGUUUGUGACUCUUUCUGUUACCUGCAACCCCCACUUACUCUCCCAUCCUCAAACCUCAUUUGGCAAAGCCUGUAGGAAGAGGAGAGGAUAAGGAAGCCAUAUUCUGCUAGUAUAAUAUGAGCUUUAUGACCUCAUCACAUUACUUAAAUUCCCCAUCGUAGGACACUUCCUCCACACAGCAGGCAUGGAGCCCAUUGGAUCUCAUCCCACGAUGUACAUCUACUUCCAGUAGGGAUCCAUGCUGUUUGAAUUGAGGAAGCAUGGUAGGAGGGGAAAACCUGAACAUGGGAGAUUGCCUGUGUUCAGGUUAGAAAUAAUGGGGACAAAGUGGGCCCAUGCCGAAAACUACACAUUCUGGCAUGUCAUGGGUAAGCAGGUAGUGCUGGCUAUGUGGGGUGGCAGGCAACAGAUUCGCCUCACAAUUUGCCCUGCUGCCCUACACCAUGCCCUCACUGUCCCCCAAAGCCCACUCUGCAAAAUCACUUCAAAGGAAGAGAAGCAUGACACAAGAGAAAGACAAUUACUUAGCAGGAGUGAAGAGAGACAGAACCAUCCCAUGUCUCUAGAAGACAUUAAAAUAUAUAAACAAAAUAUGGUAACAGUUGCUAAAUAACUUUAAGAAUGUUUGUGCCUGUGUAUUUCAAUACCUUUAAGAAUGUUUGUGUCUGUGGAUGCAUACUGUUUCUAUAACUAAUCAGGAAAAUCAUGCAGACAUCUGGUUUUCUUUGGAAACAUCCUGCUUAUCUCUCAUUUUCUUCUACUCAUGGCUGCAGGGAACAUGCUGAAAACAAAAUCACAAUGAUGAUAUUUCUAAACAACAUUUCCCUAAUGCAAUAAUCACUCUUAUGCUACCAACAGACCAAUGUAUUCCAAAACUAUUUUAGAGUAGAGCUUAACAAGGGAGUGUGUUUAAGUAGAAAAGGCCUGAGAACAUUAUUCAUUACAAAGCAUUGUAGAAAGUGGUAAAUGGAUUUCUGAAGUCUUCCAUUUCUGUCUCUUCAAUUCUUUAGUCAGCUUGCUUCUCACCAUCUGAUUUUUUUUAGCCAACUAUACCUGGGAGCCCCCGGUGGCACAGGAAGUUAAAUCGCUGAGCUGCUGAACAUCCUGACUGAAAGGUCAGUGGUUCGAAUCCGGGGAGCAGGGUGAGCUUCCGCUGUUAGCCCCAGCUUCUACCAACCUAGCAGUUCGAAAACAUGCAAAUGUAAGUAGACCAAUAGGUACCACUCCAGCAGGAAGGUAACAGCGCUCCAUGCAGUCAUGCCAGCCACAUGACCUUGGAGGUGUCUGUGGACAAAGCCAGCUCUUCAGCUUAGAAAUUGAGAUGAGCAGCACCAACCCCCAGAGUCAGACACAACUAGAUUUAAUGCCAGGGGAAAAACUUUAUCUUUACCUACACCUGGUAUAUAUUAAGUCUUCAUAAUUUCUGGGAAAAUGCUAUCUCCACUCCCUGCACUAGGCUUAUCCCUAAAUCCAAGGUAGGUUUAACAACAACAACAACAACAGCAACAUUUUUAUAUAUUACCCAACUCUCCUUUCAGCUUAAGGUGAGGCACAAUAUUUUCAAGCACAUCUAUAAAAUCACAUAAUAAAACAUAGUUAAAAUGCAAACAUAAAAGCAUAAAUUAAAAUAUGCAAAUAUUAAAAUGCAUGAAACAAAAGUUAAAACCAUAAACAUAGAAUAUGAUUUACAAGUCAUUCUUAAAAUUGACUAGGCAGGCCUGCCGAAAGAGAUAGGUCUUCAGUUAUGUUUCAAAUUCCGACAGUUCAUUUAGCUGUUGGAGCUCUUUUCACAGUCUUGGAGCAGCCAAUGAAAAGGUCUUCUGGGCGAUGGUUGCCCUCCAGGUUCUGGCUGGUUGGAGGAGCUGCCCCUCAGGAGGACCUCAGUGUCCAGGGCAGAUUGUACGUAAGAACGUGAUCCUGCAGCCUGGCAAAUUCGUACUUACUAUCAAAUCUCUGAAAUGAAUAUAGCCCUGGAUUUCUUUGAAUGAGCAUUCAAAACCCAUGUUUCAUUUCGGUCUUAAGACAUCAGCAUGUUUCUUCGUGAGCAAAAAAUGUCAUACCUUCAAAGCAAGAGGAGAAUGGGAAGGAAGGACAAACACUUGCAUACAGGCAGAGAAGCACUGUGGGACGACUAGGCAAGAUUUCACUAUCAAUAACAGGGGACAGCUUUGUCACAAGGAGGAUAUUUCACAGCAUCAUGCAAUAUGGAUAGUCCUGUUUUUAUGCUAGUUUGCCACCUCUGUGUAAUAAAGUCCUCAGUGUGCUACCUAUAUGUCUACUGGCCUAUUAUUAACUCAUUAACAGCGGGAGGGGAAAAUCUCAUCAAUAUCAGCACACCUAAAAUGCAAGCUAAAUAUUUUAGUGUACCUAGCUUUCAGUAUUGUAUGCCUUGUGCAUGAACUCUUAGAGCAGCGGUUCUCAAAGUAUGAUCUGCAAAGUCCUUGGGGCUCCGCGAAGCAUCCUGAGGGGCUCUGUGGUUUCCUCUUCCUGCAACCUCCUCCCUCUCCCCCUUCAAGCUUUUCCUCCUCUUUCUUGCUCCUCCCCCUCCCCCCUUGCCACCAAAAGCCUUUUUUCCUCACUUCCUUAAUCCUCAAAAGCCUUUUUUCCUCCCUUGCCACCCAAAUCCUUUUACCCUUGCCUUCUUUGCUUCCAAAACCCUAUUUCCCUCCCCAUCACUCAGGGGGCACUUUGCUUGUGCUUUUUCCUCAUGGCAGAAGGGAGUUGAACUGGAUGACA